UGCAGGAGCAGGAGCACUGGCCAAUGUUAUACCAAUUAUAUUAGACCAAUAAAAACCAGCAGGAUCUUAUUAAAGAGGACAAGACAAAGAUGCCACAUUUAUUAUGAUAACAAUUUGAUUUAUGACUAA
Non-coding RNA from Chelonoidis abingdonii (Abingdon island giant tortoise), 129 nucleotides. Lineage: Eukaryota; Metazoa; Chordata; Testudines; Testudinidae. The record is from RefSeq and is a predicted model, not a curated record.